CUGUGAAGAGGGAUGUGUUUGCUUCUCCUUCCACCAUGAUUGUAAGUUUACUGAGACCUCCCCAGCCAUGCUGAACUAGCCUGGUUCUUGUCUCUGGAGCAGACUUGGCAGACACAAGCGGCUACUCAGACGAGGAAGCUGAGGCACAGAGACCAUAAGCAAUGUUUCCAAAGUCACACGGUUGGUUAUGACGAAUUUUAAGAAGUUUGAAAACCGCUUCUCUAAAGCAGGAGGAAUCUGUCCAGGAGGAGGAUGUUGCAGAUGAAUAGGCCUUUGUUAGCUUCUACUCCACCAAAGAGCCUUUGCAAACAUGCAGACGAGAACCUCAACCUGCUGUCUCCAACCUCCACCAGGCCCCACUCCCUUGCAUUCUUUGAUAUGGCCAAUCUACGUAUUUUUAUUUUUAAAUGAGUAUGUCAAUAGUUUUGGGGAAACAAGUGGUGUUCAGUUGCAUAAAUUCUUUAGUAGUGGUUUCUGAGAUUUUGGUGCAUCCAGCACCCAAGCAGUGGACACUCAACCUAAUGUGUAGGUUUUUUUUUUUUUUUAAUUUUUUGACAGUCUCACUCUGUCGCUCAGUCUGGA
Long non-coding RNA from Pongo pygmaeus (Bornean orangutan), 582 nucleotides. RefSeq lists it as uncharacterized. The record is from RefSeq and is a predicted model, not a curated record. Lineage: Eukaryota; Metazoa; Chordata; Mammalia; Primates; Hominidae. The transcript is spliced from 4 exons.